Molecule: long non-coding RNA, 1514 nt
Organism: Arabidopsis thaliana (thale cress)
Lineage: Eukaryota; Viridiplantae; Streptophyta; Magnoliopsida; Brassicales; Brassicaceae
Product: other RNA
Exons: 1
Source: RefSeq
UUUUUGAUUCAGACAAAUUUAUUAAAACAAUGUAGUAGGUUAGAUUUUGACGUUUUUGUUUUUCAUAAUAAAAAUGUAGUUAUCACUUCAUUCGUAAAAUCUGUAGAUGUCUUCCAAAAAAAGUACUUCCAAGAACAAGAAUCCAAGUAUUAGAUCAGAAUCUACACGUACGUCAAUUGUCACAUCCAUCAUACGAAAACAUUAUUUUCUUACGGAAAAUGAUUGAUACUCGAGAUGAAUGAUUGAUGUAGAGAUUUCAAAAUCAAUUGAUGUCACUAUGUAUAUGAUAAGUUUUUUUUUCCAAGUGGGUGAAAUAAUAAGUUUGAUCAAGAAUGGGACAAGUAGUACAAAAACAUGGGUCACCAAUCGAUAUUGCUUUCAUGUCUAACACUUAUAUGUUGGCCAAAAAACUAAUGUCAAAUCCUUAAAUGGUGGCAAAAUGUAGGUCCACGUCAGCUUGACCCAUAUAUUUGGACAUAUAAAUAAUGAAACUCUAAGUCUACAUACAACAAAAAGUAAUAACAAAAUGAUAUUUUUUAUACAUAGAGAGAUGCAAGCAGUGUGGUCACUCACAAUCACACAAGUUGCCAGAGAAAGCCCACAAGACCAUAACCACAAGGAAAGCAACAAACAAGAUUUUAAGGAAUUAAUAAUGAUAUUAAAUACUUUAUGAUUAUUUAAGACCUGUUAUUAUAUAAACUCACAUGGACAUUUCAGAACACCUGGCUUCGAAUUUAAUUUUACCGACUUUUAUAUUUUUGAUGGACACAAAUAUUAAAAACAAAUCAAAGCGGGUUUAGUUUCUCCAUUCAUUGGACAGCAAUUUCAGGGAAGCACAUGCAACAUGUGAAAAUUUUGACUCUUAAUGGAAAAAGGCUUCUAAAAAGCUUAAUCAUAUCAACUCUUAAAUUAGAAAUUUCACUGUAGAUGAUUAUCAUUAGAUAUUAUAGUACUUAAAGCAGAAAUAUACAGCUAUCAAUGAUUUAGCAAAACCAACGGUAAAAAGUUAUAAAAUUUUAGUAAAAACCCCUGAAAUUUACCAUACCAAUCUUUUUUUUACUAUUUCGAGAAUAUAAAAUAAUUAAAUAAUUACAUACAAAACCUCGUACCAUUUAAUUCUUGGCCCUUAAUUCUAUGACUUGGUUAGAUUUUAUGGAAUUCUCUUUUUGUUGUCGACGCAAGUAAAGUCAAGUCCAAUUAUCGAAAACUAUCAAACCGGAAUUUAACUCCAAUUAUCAAUGCAUGUAAGUAAGGUCCAAUUGUCUAAAGCCAAGUAAUAAAACACUGAAUACAAGCACGAUAUUUCACCCAAAUCAACUUAAACCGAAACUUUCGGUUUAGAUUCCCAAUUUUAAUAAAACUCAACCUUUACUGACAGUAAACAUAAACAAAGCAUUUCCAAACCAAAGGCUAACUAGGUGGUGAAAAAUGUUGAGUCAAAGAAGUGGCUAAAAAAUUGAACCGGAGUAAACCGGGAGAAAGAAGAAGCGUAAACCGGUUAAAUAGGGGACGGA